GAGGGUAUAGCUCAGGGGUAGAGCAUGUGCUUAACAUGCAUGAGGUCCUGGGUUCAAUCCCCAGUACCUCUG
RNAcentral lists this transfer RNA (72 nucleotides) under Camelus bactrianus (Bactrian camel). It matches the Rfam family "tRNA". From Rfam's summary of the family: Transfer RNA (tRNA) molecules are approximately 80 nucleotides in length. Their secondary structure includes four short double-helical elements and three loops (D, anti-codon, and T loops). Further hydrogen bonds mediate the characteristic L-shaped molecular structure. tRNAs have two regions of fundamental functional importance: the anti-codon, which is responsible for specific mRNA codon recognition, and the 3' end, to which the tRNAs corresponding amino acid is attached (by aminoacyl-tRNA synthetases). tRNAs cope with the degeneracy of the genetic code in two manners: having more than one tRNA (with a specific anti-codon) for a particular amino acid; and 'wobble' base-pairing, i.e. permitting non-standard base-pairing at the 3rd anti-codon position. Lineage: Eukaryota; Metazoa; Chordata; Mammalia; Artiodactyla; Camelidae. RNAcentral also lists the same sequence under 1 other name. The record is from Rfam by way of RNAcentral.